UCCCCAGGUUGAGGCACAUGGGAAGCUCCUUUCUGAGCCCCGUUCUCCCCUUGUGUCUUUCAGUGAGCUCUUCCACAUAGGAGGGCCCCCUGGCAUUGACUGGCGUAGGGUUCAGUGGUGGAGAGAGCAUCGGGUGCCCUGCGUCUGUGACGGGCCAGUAUUCCACAUGGAUCUCAUCACAUGGUCCAUGGAAGGUGAGCAUCCCUGAGCUGGCACACCCCACCUUCUGCCCGCAUGGAGGGGUGAGGUUGUGUUUGGACACCUGUCCUCUUUCUGUUCUUCGAGAUGAUGACCCCAGAGGAGGACUCGUGUUGGACGCACUGUCCCCGGGCCAGUGUCCAUCAGCCAGGUGCCUAGGCCCUAUUGCACUGUAGCUUGGGCCCUUCCUGUCACCUUGGUCUCC
This 403-nucleotide long non-coding RNA is filed under the name Rhinopithecus bieti (black snub-nosed monkey). RNAcentral's name for it is "lncRNA (ENSRBIG00000046710.1)". Lineage: Eukaryota; Metazoa; Chordata; Mammalia; Primates; Cercopithecidae. The record is from RNAcentral.